AAAAAUAAAACGGGGAGCUAAAGUUUGACAGCUGAGAGGGAACAUGAUUCCGACCCGAAAACCUGAUACGGAUAAUGCCGUCGUAGGAAACUUAUUAUAUGGAUUU
RNAcentral lists this non-coding RNA (106 nucleotides) under Eubacterium sp. RNAcentral's name for it is "TPP sequence". It matches the Rfam family "TPP riboswitch aptamer (THI element)". Rfam says of the family: Vitamin B(1) in its active form thiamin pyrophosphate (TPP) is an essential coenzyme that is synthesised by coupling of pyrimidine and thiazole moieties in bacteria. The previously detected thiamin-regulatory element, thi box was extended, resulting in a new, highly conserved RNA secondary structure, the THI element, which is widely distributed in eubacteria and also occurs in some archaea. Lineage: Bacteria; Bacillati; Bacillota; Clostridia; Eubacteriales; Eubacteriaceae. The record is from RNAcentral. RNAcentral also lists the same sequence under 1 other name.